AGUGAACGCUGGCGGUAGGCCUAACACAUGCAAGUCGAACGGCAGCACAGUAAGAGCUUGCUCUUACGGGUGGCGAGUGGCGGACGGGUGAGGAAUACAUCGGAAUCUACUUUUUCGUGGGGGAUAAUGUAGGGAAACUUACGCUAAUACCGCAUACGACCUACGGGUGAAAGCAGGGGACCUUCGGACCUUGCGCGAUUGAAUGAGCCGAUGUCGGAUUAGCUAGUUGGCGGGGUAAAGGCCCACCAAGGCGACGAUCCGUAGCUGGUCUGAGAGGAUGAUCAGCCACACUGGAACUGAGACACGGUCCAGACUCCUACGGGAGGCGGCAGUGGGGAAUAUUGGACAAUGGGCGCAAGCCUGAUCCAGCCAUACCGCGUGGGUGAAGAAGGCCUUCGGGUUGUAAAGCCCUUUUGUUGGGAAAGAAAAGCAGCAGGUUAAUACCCCGCUGUUCUGACGGUACCCAAAGAAUAAGCACCGGCUAACUUCGUG
This 492-nucleotide ribosomal RNA is filed under the name uncultured bacterium. Its description in RNAcentral is "partial 16S ribosomal RNA". It matches the Rfam family "Bacterial small subunit ribosomal RNA", at positions 29 to 507 of the family's 1533-position model. The record is from RNAcentral.